Bos indicus x Bos taurus (hybrid cattle) is the source of this 1938-nucleotide long non-coding RNA. The record is from Ensembl. Lineage: Eukaryota; Metazoa; Chordata; Mammalia; Artiodactyla; Bovidae.
GUUUCAAUAGAUUCCAUUAAUCUACUAUGACAGUCAUGAUUUAGAAGUCAGCAACUCUUCGAGUUACCCCACAACGAGUACUUUUGUGAGGCAGCAGAACUGAAUUGUCUCGAAGUACUGACUUUUUCGUUCUUUUCCAAGCCAAUCCAUGAAGAUAGCGGAAAGUAAGGGUUUGUCGCGCGCGGGGCGGGUGGGUGGUGGGUAGACUUCUCCUAAAAAGAGAAUUCUGGAAGUCAUCAUAAUUAGACAAAGAGGAAAAUGUGCCAGACAGGAGUGGGUGGGGGCUGUUUUCUCCUGUGGUUGGUCGCGGUGCGUUGAAGAUCCCUAACCUCAGAUGAAGCUUCUGAGUUUCCAGUAGGCCAGCGGCCGCCCUGGAGACCCGAGGCUCCAGGAGAAGGCGGCGCAGGUGUCCGGGCUCCGGGCAGGCCACACAAAAGUGUCCGAACGCCUCGAGGACCGCGACAAGGGAAGUGUCUCUUCAAAGUGCGACCAAGUGGGGAAGAAGGUGUGAUUACUGUGGUCAGCAUCUAGAAAACAGAAGCACUCCCGCCUCCUCUGUGCUACAUCCUUCUUACUGGAUCUUUCUAUCAGUGAACAUUGUGGAAGUACCAUUACUACAUCGUCAUUCCUGAAGGAAAAGUUGCCAAACUUUUUUCUUUGGAGUUGCUUCGAAGUUGUUGGGAUUUUUGAUGAUGCCUCCCCUAUGUGGAUUACUACUGUUUGAACACUGGGAAUUCUCCAUCUUAAAGAAGCGCUCCCAAGUGACUACAGAAGCCUCGACACCCAGCGUGAUCAGGUAAGAGACCAGUCUCAUUUCACUGGUGAGUUUGCUGAAGUGUUAUCACAAGACAGCCAGAAUGAUGGAUGAGCUCUUCAGAUUAGAAAACUGAGGUGUUGGAGGCGUGACUUCCUCGUGGUCACACAGAGUGCUGGAGCGACCAUCCGUCGUGAUUAUCUGUGCGUGCUCCACUGUCCUAGUUGGUGCCCUGUGCUCACGUCUGUCAACAUCAGGAGCUGUGGAAUCCGAGUGCGGCUGCCAAGAGGAAUCCAGAAAAGCCAAAGAGCCCAAGCAUGUCAGACCUUCCUGUAGCCACACACACACACACCUCAAACCCCAAGGAAGUGAGUGAGAAUCACAGGCAGGGAGACAGCCAACCAGGUGAGCAACCACAUCAGUCUGAGGGCUAAAGCAACAGGAAAGGGUUUUUGGCAGUUCUGUUCGUUUGGCAACAUGAGGAUUUGACCUGAGCUUACACCAAAUUACCUCACGGCAAAUGAUUUUCUGCCGAGCACUACAGACGUUAGGCUGACUCCACUGAGCUCUUGGGCUGAAGACAGAUGAAUAUAUCCAAGAUGACGACUUAGUUUCAGGUGUGAUGGGGGGAUUGCUUCUCCUCGUUCAGGAAGAGGUUAAAUCCCAACUUUUUUUUCCACCUUUAGGGGAGGUUCUUCUGUUCAGAGCCAAUAGGGGAGCUUUGGGUUUGGGUCUUGAGUUUGGUUUUGAGCCUUCUGGUUUGGCUCUGUAUGGGUGUGGGUGUGUUUGUGCUUGUGGGUGGGGUGUGUGUAUGUGUAUUUGUGUAUUUCCACAUAGAUGGCUAAGACUGUUCUUCCUUUUUAUAAAUAUAAAUCUCUCUCUCUCUCUCUUUUUUUUUUUUCUAUUUGGGUCCAUAUGUUUUGAAGCUACCUCCUAGAUGAAUUGAAUUAGACUAUGCUAUUUUUAUUUACUUUUUAAUGUUUUUAGUAAUGAAAUCACUGGUUGGAACCUUAUGCAGUUUGGUGCUAUAAUAGGAUUUGCCAGGGUUCCAUUGUACUCUAAAUUAGUUUUAAAUUUCUGCCCCUUGCCUUCCUUUUCAUUUAUGUUAAAUGUUACUAUUAUGUGAAGAGAAGGGAUUUUAAUGAUAGUAAGAAGGUAUUUAGAGACUCCUGCUCUACUGCUCG